Molecule: ribosomal RNA, 403 nt
Filed under: uncultured bacterium
Lineage: Bacteria
Description: bacterial SSU rRNA
Rfam family: Bacterial small subunit ribosomal RNA
Source: RNAcentral
AUUGAACGCUGGCGGCAGGCCUAACACAUGCAAGUCGAGCGGUAGAGAGGUGCUUGCAUCUCUUGAGAGCGGCGGACGGGUGAGUAAUGCCUAGGAAUCUGCCUAGUGGUGGGGGAUAACGUUCGGAAACGGACGCUAAUACCGCAUACGUCCUACGGGAGAAAGCGGGGGAUCUUCGGACCUCGCGCCAUUAGAUGAGCCUAGGUCGGAUUAGCUAGUUGGUGAGGUAAUGGCUCACCAAGGCGACGAUCCGUAACUGGUCUGAGAGGAUGAUCAGUCACACUGGAACUGAGACACGGUCCAGACUCCUACGGGAGGCAGCAGUGGGGAAUAUUGGGACAAAUGGGCGAAAGACCUGAUCCAGCCAUGCCGCGUGUGUGAAGAAGGUCUUCGGAUUGUAAAG